Molecule: ribosomal RNA, 253 nt
Filed under: uncultured bacterium
Lineage: Bacteria
Description: partial 16S ribosomal RNA
Rfam family: Bacterial small subunit ribosomal RNA
Source: RNAcentral
UACGGAGGGUGUAAGCGUUAUCCGGAUUCACUGGGUUUAAAGGGUGCGUAGGCGGGUAAGUAAGUCCGUGGUGAAAUCUCUGAGCUUAACUCAGAAACUGCCGUGGAUACUAUUUGCCUUGAAUAUUGUGGAGGUGAGCGGAAUAUGUCAUGUAGCGGUGAAAUGCUUAGAUAUGACAUAGAACACCAAUUGCGAAGGCAGCUCACUACACAAUCAUUGACGCUGAGGCACGAAAGCGUGGGGAGCAAACAGG